GCCAGUCGAUCGGACGUGCCAGCCGAUCGGCUGGGCCGCCCGAUCGAACGGGCCAGCCGAUCGGCUGGCCGGCCGAUCGGACAGA
Molecule: microRNA precursor, 85 nt
Filed under: Helianthus annuus (common sunflower)
Lineage: Eukaryota; Viridiplantae; Streptophyta; Magnoliopsida; Asterales; Asteraceae
Description: microRNA MIR1846
Rfam family: MIR1846 microRNA precursor family
Source: RNAcentral